Molecule: microRNA, 20 nt
Filed under: Hordeum vulgare
Lineage: Eukaryota; Viridiplantae; Streptophyta; Magnoliopsida; Poales; Poaceae
Description: hvu-miR6202
Source: miRBase by way of RNAcentral
UGAAGAUUUUAAGCAUUGAA